GAUGAACGCUGGCGGCGUGCCUAAUACAUGCAAGUCGAGCGAACAGACGAGGAGCUUGCCCCUUUGACGUUAGCGGCGGACGGGUGAGUAACACGUGGAUAACCUACCUAUAAGACUGGGAUAACUUCGGGAAACCGGAGCUAAUACCGGAUAACAUGUUGAACCGCAUGGUUCAACAGUGAAAGACGGUCUUGCUGUCACUUAUAGAUGGAUCCGCGCCGCAUUAGCUAGUUGGUAAGGUAACGGCUUACCAAGGCAACGAUGCGUAGCCGACCUGAGAGGGUGAUCGGCCACACUGGAACUGAGACACGGUCCAGACUCCUACGGGAGGCAGCAGUAGGGAAUCUUCCGCAAUGGGCGAAAGCCUGACGGAGCAACGCCGCGUGAGUGAAGAAGGUCUUCGGAUCGUAAAACUCUGUUAUUAGGGAAGAACAAAUGUGUAAGUAACUAUGCACGUCUUGACGGUACCUAAUCAGAAAGCCACGGCUAACUACGU
RNAcentral lists this ribosomal RNA (496 nucleotides) under uncultured bacterium. Its description in RNAcentral is "partial 16S ribosomal RNA". It matches the Rfam family "Bacterial small subunit ribosomal RNA", at positions 28 to 506 of the family's 1533-position model. The record is from RNAcentral.